UCCUUCCCUCACUAGGUCUUCGCCCGAUGCCUCCCCGCAAAGCAUCCACGUGGCGAUCCACGGCCUCCGCGGCCAGAUCUCAGGCUCUGGCCUCCCCUCCAGUUUCCUAGCCUCCUCCCCCUCCUCCGGCAACGGCGGUUGGCGCGGAGCAAUUCGACCUACUGGUGCAGCAGGUCAGAGGCCUCACUGAAGCUGUGCAGGCCA
Molecule: long non-coding RNA, 204 nt
Filed under: Elaeis guineensis (African oil palm)
Lineage: Eukaryota; Viridiplantae; Streptophyta; Magnoliopsida; Arecales; Arecaceae
Description: long non-coding RNA (EGUI_LNC080976)
Source: RNAcentral